This 574-nucleotide ribosomal RNA is filed under the name Enterobacterales bacterium. Its description in RNAcentral is "bacterial SSU rRNA". It matches the Rfam family "Bacterial small subunit ribosomal RNA", at positions 827 to 1402 of the family's 1533-position model. Lineage: Bacteria; Pseudomonadati; Pseudomonadota; Gammaproteobacteria; Enterobacterales. The record is from RNAcentral.
UGCCUUGAGGCGUGGCUUCCGGAGCUAACGCGUUAAGUCGACCGCCUGGGGAGUACGGCCGCAAGGUUAAAACUCAAAUGAAUUGACGGGGGCCCGCACAAGCGGUGGAGCAUGUGGUUUAAUUCGAUGCAACGCGAAGAACCUUACCUACUCUUGACAUCCAGAGAACUUUCCAGAGAUGGAUUGGUGCCUUCGGGAACUCUGAGACAGGUGCUGCAUGGCUGUCGUCAGCUCGUGUUGUGAAAUGUUGGGUUAAGUCCCGCAACGAGCGCAACCCUUAUCCUUUGUUGCCAGCGGUCCGGCCGGGAACUCAAAGGAGACUGCCAGUGAUAAACUGGAGGAAGGUGGGGAUGACGUCAAGUCAUCAUGGCCCUUACGAGUAGGGCUACACACGUGCUACAAUGGCGCAUACAAAGAGAAGCGAACUCGCGAGAGCAAGCGGACCUCAUAAAGUGCGUCGUAGUCCGGAUUGGAGUCUGCAACUCGACUCCAUGAAGUCGGAAUCGCUAGUAAUCGUAGAUCAGAAUGCUACGGUGAAUACGUUCCCGGGCCUUGCACUCCCCGCCCGUCAAAA